RNAcentral lists this ribosomal RNA (432 nucleotides) under uncultured bacterium. RNAcentral's name for it is "partial 16S ribosomal RNA". It matches the Rfam family "Bacterial small subunit ribosomal RNA", at positions 29 to 507 of the family's 1533-position model. The record is from RNAcentral.
GCGAACGCUGGCGGCAGGCUUAACCCCUGCAAGUCGAGCGGGCACUUCGGUGUCAGCGGCAGACGGGUGAGUAACACGUGGGAACGUACCCUUUGGUUCGGAAUAACGCUGGGAAACUAGCGCUAAUACCGGAUACGCCCUUUUGGGGAAAGGCUUGCUGCCGAAGGAUCGGCCCGCGUCUGAUUAGCUGGUUGGUGGGGUAAUGGCCUACCAAGGCGACGAUCAGUAGCUGGUCUGAGAGGAUGAUCAGCCACACUGGGACUGAGACACGGCCCAGACUCCUACGGGAGGCAGCAGUGGGGAAUAUUGGACAAUGGGCGCAAGCCUGAUCCAGCCAUGCCGCGUGAGUGAUGAAGGCCUUAGGGUUGUAAAGCUCUUUUGUCCGGGACGAUAAUGACGGUACCGGAAGAAUAAGCCCCGGCUAACUUCGUG